This 481-nucleotide ribosomal RNA is filed under the name uncultured Cytophagales bacterium. RNAcentral's name for it is "bacterial SSU rRNA". It matches the Rfam family "Bacterial small subunit ribosomal RNA", at positions 28 to 508 of the family's 1533-position model. The record is from RNAcentral. Lineage: Bacteria; Pseudomonadati; Bacteroidota; Sphingobacteriia; Sphingobacteriales.
GAUGAACGCUAGCGGCAGGCCUAACACAUGCAAGUCGAGGGGUAACAGGGAGCUUGCUCCGCUGACGACCGGCGCACGGGUGCGUAACGCGUAUACAAUCUACCUUUUGCUACGGGAUAGCCCAGAGAAAUUUGGAUUAAUACCGCAUAGUAUAUUGAGAUCGCAUGGUUUUAAUAUUAAAGGUUACGGCAGAAGAUGAGUAUGCGUUCUAUUUGCUAGAUGGUGUGGUAACGGCACACCAUGGCAACGAUAGAUAGGGGCCCUGAGAGGGGGAUCCCCCACACUGGUACUGAGACACGGACCAGACUCCUACGGGAGGCAGCAGUGAGGAAUAUUGGACAAUGGGCGAGAGCCUGAUCCAGCCAUGCCGCGUGCAGGAAGACGGCCCUAUGGGUUGUAAACUGCUUUUAUACAGGAAGAAACACCUCUACGUGUAGAGGCUUGACGGUACUGUAAGAAUAAGGAUCGGCUAACUCCGUGC